UGGAAGUACCAAACUUGGAAGAUUUUGGAGGAAACCACCAAGGCUUCCUCCUCGAUUGUCACCUGAUGAAAAGGGUACUAAUAAUAAAACUAUCAAUGAAUUAGUGAGGCUAAAUGCUGAUCCAAUAUGGAUUGAAAGGCAACAAAAAGUAAAGGAAGCUUUCCUCCAUGCUUGGUCUGGCUACAAAAAGUAUGCAAUGGGAUAUGAUGAACUUAUGCCACUGAGCCAGCGGGGAGUUGAUGGGUUAGGAGGUCUAGGUGCUACUGUUGUGGAUGCUCUUGAUACUGCCAUGAUAAUGGGUGCUAAUGAAGUUGUUUCUGAGGCAGGAUCAUGGAUUGAAACACACCUUUCUGAUAAGAUUAGCAAGAAAGGCCAAGUUAAUUUAUUUGAAACUACCAUUCGUGUCUUGGGUGGUCUUUUAAGUGCAUAUCAUUUAAGCGGAGGGGGACAACAGACUAACUCUAUGCGUGAGGGGCCAAAACCAAUUUUUUAUCUAGAAACUGCUAGAAAGUUAGCUGAUCGUCUGCUAGUGGCUUUUACUUCCAGUCCAACUCCUAUUCCCUUUAGUGAUGUUGUUCUACACGAUCCCUCAGCACAUCGCGCUCCUGAUGGUUUGAGUAGUACUUCAGAAGUCUCAACUUUGCAACUUGAGUUCAAUUAUCUCAGUACAGUUUGUGGUGAUCCAAAGUACAGCAUGGAAGCUAUGAAGGUUUUAGAGCAUAUGAAGAACCUACCAAAGGUAGAAGGGCUGGUUCCUAUCUACAUAAGCCCUGACUCUGGUGAAUUUAGUGGCGAAAAUAUUAGACUGGGAUCUCGUGGUGACAGCUACUAUGAGUACCUAAUUAAAGUAUGGCUUCAGCAGGGAAGCAGUAGAGAUGCAAAUUUUACAUAUCUGCAUGACAUGUAUGAGGAGGCAAUGCAGGGUGUUAGGCACCUACUUGUUCAGACAUCAAUCCCAAAUGGAUUGGUUUUUGUGGGGGAAUUGCCUUAUG
This 992-nucleotide unclassified non-coding RNA is filed under the name Hevea brasiliensis (rubber tree). Lineage: Eukaryota; Viridiplantae; Streptophyta; Magnoliopsida; Malpighiales; Euphorbiaceae. The record is from RNAcentral.